GUGGGGAAUCUUGCGCAAUGGGCGGAAGCCUGACGCAGCAACGCCGCGUGGGGGAUGACGGCCUUCGGGUUGUAAACCUCUUUCGCGAUCGACGAAGGCCCGCUUUCUGCGGGUUGACGGUAGGUCGAGAAGAAGCACCGGCCAACUACGUGCCAGCAGCCGCGGUAAUACGUAGGGUGCGAGCGUUGUCCGGAAUUAUUGGGCGUAAAGAGCUCGUAGGCGGUGUGUCGCGUCGGCCGUGAAAACCUGGGGCUUAACUCUGGGCGUGCGGUCGAUACGGGCAUCACUUGAGUUCGGCAGGGGAGACUGGAAUUCCUGGUGUAGCGGUGAAAUGCGCAGAUAUCAGGAGGAACACCGGUGGCGAAGGCGGGUCUCUGGGCCGAUACUGACGCUGAGGAGCGAAAGCAUGGGUAGCGAACAGGAUUAGAUACCCCUGUAGUCC
RNAcentral lists this ribosomal RNA (442 nucleotides) under uncultured bacterium. RNAcentral's name for it is "bacterial SSU rRNA". It matches the Rfam family "Bacterial small subunit ribosomal RNA", at positions 354 to 796 of the family's 1533-position model. The record is from RNAcentral.